AGCCGCGGUAAUUCCAGCUCCAAUAGCGUAUAUUAAAGUUGUUGCAGUUAAAAAGCUCGUAGUUGAAUUUCGGGGUUAGUAGGUUGGUCAUGCCUCCGGUAUGUACUGAUCUCACUGAUUCCUCCUUCCUUAUGAACCGUAAUGCCAUUAAUUUGGUGUUGCGGGGAAUUUGGACUGUUACUUUGAAAAAAUUAGAGUGUUUAAAGCAGGCUAACGCUUGAAUACAUUAGCAUGGAAUAAUGAAAUAGGACGUUCGAUCUUAUUUUGUUGGUUUCUAGGAUUGACGUAAUGAUUAAUAGGGAUAGUUGGGGGCAUUAGUAUUCAAUUGUCAGAGGUGAAAUUCUUGGAUUUAUUGAAGACUAACUACUGCGAAAGCAUUUGCCAAGGAUGUUUUCAUUAAUCAAGAACGAAAGUUAGGGGAUCGAAGACGAUCAGAUACCGUCGUAGUCUUAACCAUAAACUAUGCCGACUAGGGAUCGGAUGAUGUUAAUUUUUUAAUGACUCAUUCGGCGCCUUACG
RNAcentral lists this unclassified non-coding RNA (519 nucleotides) under uncultured Glomeromycotina. RNAcentral describes it as "SSU rRNA". It matches the Rfam family "Eukaryotic small subunit ribosomal RNA", at positions 572 to 1092 of the family's 1831-position model. Lineage: Eukaryota; Fungi; Glomeromycota. The record is from RNAcentral.